AACGAACGCUGGCGGCAUGCCUAACACAUGCAAGUCGAACGAGACCUUCGGGUCUAGUGGCGCACGGGUGCGUAACGCGUGGGAACCUGCCCUUAGGUUCGGAAUAACUCCCCGAAAGGGGUGCUAAUACCGGAUAAUGUCUUCGGACCAAAGAUUUAUCGCCUUUGGAUGGGCCCGCGUUGGAUUAGCUAGUUGGUAGGGUAAAAGCCUACCAAGGCGACGAUCCAUAGCUGGUCUGAGAGGAUGAUCAGCCACACUGGGACUGAGACACGGCCCAGACCCCUCGGGGAGGAGGCAUGGGGGAUAAUGGGACAAGGGGCGAAAGCUUGAUCCGGCAAGGCCGGGGGAGUGAUGAGGGCCUUAGGUUGUAAAGCUCUUUUACCCGGGAUGAUAAUGACAGUACCGGGAGAAUAAGCGCCGGCUAACUCCGUG
This 432-nucleotide ribosomal RNA is filed under the name uncultured bacterium. RNAcentral describes it as "partial 16S ribosomal RNA". It matches the Rfam family "Bacterial small subunit ribosomal RNA", at positions 29 to 507 of the family's 1533-position model. The record is from RNAcentral.